RNAcentral lists this microRNA precursor (83 nucleotides) under Bombyx mori (domestic silkworm). RNAcentral describes it as "mir-2807 microRNA precursor family". It matches the Rfam family "mir-2807 microRNA precursor family". Lineage: Eukaryota; Metazoa; Arthropoda; Insecta; Lepidoptera; Bombycidae. The record is from Rfam by way of RNAcentral.
UUAACUCAAAUUUGUAUGGAGUUGGAUCGUUUGCCUAUGUUUGCCGCUAGGGGCGCUGUUCCAAUUGCAUACAAAUCGAGUUA